This 490-nucleotide ribosomal RNA is filed under the name uncultured organism. RNAcentral describes it as "bacterial SSU rRNA". It matches the Rfam family "Bacterial small subunit ribosomal RNA", at positions 28 to 507 of the family's 1533-position model. The record is from RNAcentral.
GAUGAACGCUAGCGAUAGGCCUAACACAUGCAAGUCGAGGGGCAGCACAUGAAGUAGCAAUACGGAUGGUGGCGACCGGCGCACGGGUGAGUAACGCGUAUGCAACCUACCUACAACAGGGGGAUAACCCGUUGAAAGACGGACUAAUACCCCAUAAUACAGGGGUCCCGCAUGGGGAUAUUUGUUAAAGAUUAAUCGGUUGUAGAUGGGCAUGCGUUCCAUUAGCUGGUUGGUGAGGUAACGGCUCACCAAGGCAACGAUGGAUAGGGGAACUGAGAGGUUUAUCCCCCACACUGGUACUGAGACACGGACCAGACUCCUACGGGAGGCAGCAGUGAGGAAUAUUGGUCAAUGGACGCAAGUCUGAACCAGCCACGUCGCGUGAAGGAAGACGGCCCUACGGGUUGUAAACUUCUUUUGUAAGGGAAUAAAGUGAGUCACGUGUGACUUUUUGCAUGUACCUUACGAAUAAGGAUCGGCUAACUCCGUG